AUCGAAUCUUUGAACGCACUUUGUGCCCGCGGCCUUCGUGCCAAAGGCGUGCCUGCUUGAGCGUCG
RNAcentral lists this ribosomal RNA (66 nucleotides) under Selaginella sp. C XMZ-2015. RNAcentral describes it as "partial 5.8S ribosomal RNA". Lineage: Eukaryota; Viridiplantae; Streptophyta; Lycopodiopsida; Selaginellales; Selaginellaceae. The record is from RNAcentral.